UCCCUGGUGGUCCAGUGGUUAGGACUCUGUGCUUUCACUGUCAAGGCCCCAGGUUCAAUUCCUGGUUGGGGAG
Molecule: non-coding RNA, 73 nt
Organism: Bubalus bubalis (water buffalo)
Lineage: Eukaryota; Metazoa; Chordata; Mammalia; Artiodactyla; Bovidae
Source: the annotation of a RefSeq genome assembly